GACGAACGCUGGCGGCGCGCCUAACACAUGCAAGUCGAACGAGCGAGAGAGAGCUUGCUUUCUCAAGCGAGUGGCGAACGGGUGAGUAACGCGUGAGGAACCUGCCUCAAAGAGGGGGACAACAGUUGGAAACGACUGCUAAUACCGCAUAAGCCCACAGCUCGGCAUCGAGCAGAGGGAAAAGGAGUGAUCCGCUUUGAGAUGGCCUCGCGUCCGAUUAGCUAGUUGGUGAGGUAACGGCCCACCAAGGCGACGAUCGGUAGCCGGACUGAGAGGUUGAACGGCCACAUUGGGACUGAGACACGGCCCAGACUCCUACGGGAGGCAGCAGUGGGGAAUAUUGCACAAUGGGGGAAACCCUGAUGCAGCGACGCCGCGUGGAGGAAGAAGGUCUUCGGAUUGUAAACUCCUGUUGUUGAGGAAGAUAAUGACGGUACUCAACAAGGAAGUGACGGCUAACUACGUGCCAGCAGCCGCGGUAAAACGUAGGUCACAAGCGUUGUCCGGAAUUACUGGGUGUAAAGGGAGCGCAGGCGGGAAGACAAGUUGGAAGUGAAAUCUAUGGGCUCAACCCAUAAACUGCUUUCAAAACUGUUUUUCUUGAGUAGUGCAGAGGUAGGCGGAAUUCCCGGUGUAGCGGUGGAAUGCGUAGAUAUCGGGAGGAACACCAGUGGCGAAGGCGGCCUACUGGGCACCAACUGACGCUGAGGCUCGAAAGUGUGGGUAGCAAACAGG
This 735-nucleotide ribosomal RNA is filed under the name uncultured bacterium. RNAcentral describes it as "bacterial SSU rRNA". It matches the Rfam family "Bacterial small subunit ribosomal RNA", at positions 28 to 776 of the family's 1533-position model. The record is from RNAcentral.